GAUGAACGCUAGCUACAGGCUUAACACAUGCAAGUCGAGGGGAAACGAUGAGAGAGCUUGCUCUCUUAGGCGUCGACCGGCGCACGGGUGAGUAACGCGUAUCCAACCUACCCAUUACAGGGGGAUAACCUUGCGAAAGUAAGACUAAUACCCCAUGGCAUUUUAUGGUGGCAUCAUUAUAGGAUUAAAGAUUUAUUGGUAAUGGAUGGGGAUGCGUCUGAUUAGCUUGUUGGCGGGGUAACGGCCCACCAAGGCAACGAUCAGUAGGGGUUCUGAGAGGAAGGUCCCCCACAUUGGAACUGAGACACGGUCCAAACUCCUACGGGAGGCAGCAGUGAGGAAUAUUGGUCAAUGGGCGAGAGCUUGAACCAGCCAAGUAGCGUGCAGGAUGACGGCCCUAUGGGUUGUAAACUGCUUUUAUAGGGGAAUAAAGUGAGCUACGUGUAGUUUAUUGCAUGUACCCUAUGAAUAAGGACCGGCUAAUUCCGUG
RNAcentral lists this ribosomal RNA (490 nucleotides) under uncultured bacterium. Its description in RNAcentral is "partial 16S ribosomal RNA". It matches the Rfam family "Bacterial small subunit ribosomal RNA", at positions 28 to 507 of the family's 1533-position model. The record is from RNAcentral.